AGUAACGGCGAGCGAAGUGGGAACAGCUCAGGCUGCCAAUCUCCGGCCGAGAGGUCGGCGAAUUGUGGUCUGGAGACGCCUGCUGUCCUCGCCCGUUUUCCCGGCCCGAAGUUUCCCUCAGGAUAGC
This 127-nucleotide ribosomal RNA is filed under the name Haplosclerida sp. 13 JV-2020. RNAcentral describes it as "partial large subunit ribosomal RNA". The record is from RNAcentral. Lineage: Eukaryota; Metazoa; Porifera; Demospongiae; Haplosclerida.